UUCCUGGUCCAUAAUAAUAAAAAGAUUUCUACCAAGAUAUGGAAUUGGAGACUCACAUACACAGUAGCUUUAGAACCAUAAGGAAUCCUUCAAAGGACCAGCAAAAAUUAUGCUGAUGGGGAGAUUCCCCUAUACCAUGGGAGAAUCUUCAACCCCAUGUAUAAUACUUUUCAAGAUAAAUCCACUUCAAAAGUCAUUCCUCAAUCCUCAGCUGCACCCA
RNAcentral lists this long non-coding RNA (220 nucleotides) under Homo sapiens (human). Its description in RNAcentral is "HSALNT0228136". The record is from RNAcentral. Lineage: Eukaryota; Metazoa; Chordata; Mammalia; Primates; Hominidae.